This 506-nucleotide ribosomal RNA is filed under the name uncultured bacterium. RNAcentral's name for it is "bacterial SSU rRNA". It matches the Rfam family "Bacterial small subunit ribosomal RNA", at positions 19 to 518 of the family's 1533-position model. The record is from RNAcentral.
CUGGCUCAGGAUGAACGCUAGCGGCAGGCUUAACACAUGCAAGUCGAGGGGCAUCGGGAGUAGCAAUACUGCCGGCGACCGGCGCAAGGGCGCGUAACGCGUGAGCAACAUGCCCGUAUCAGGGGGGAUAAUCCAUGGAAACGUGGUCUAAUACCCCAUAGUAAUUAUGUAAGGCAUCUUAUAUAAUUUAAAGCUUUGGUGGAUACGGAUUGGCUCGCGUGACAUUAGCUGGAUGGUAAGGUAACGGCUUACCAUGGCUACGAUGUCUAGGGGUUCUGAGAGGAAGGUCCCCCCACACUGGAACUGAGACACGGUCCAGACUCCUACGGGAGGCAGCAGUGAGGAAUAUUGGACAAUGGAUGGAAAUCUGAUCCAGCCAUGCCGCGUGCAAGGAAGACGGCCCUAUGGGUUGUAAACUGCUUUUGUAUGGGAGCAAUAAGGGCUACGUGUAGUCCGAUGAGAGUACCAUACGAAUAAGCACCGGCUAACUCCGUGCCAGCCGCCGC